This is a non-coding RNA of Oryza glumipatula, 205 nucleotides long. NCBI's taxonomy places the organism in Eukaryota, Viridiplantae, Streptophyta, Magnoliopsida, Poales, Poaceae. The record is from Rfam.
UUUAAGUGUAACCAUGAGUUUUCGCGCACAACUUUGAUCGUCCGUCUUAUUUGAAUUUUUUUAAUAAUUAAUAUUUUUGUUGUUACGAGAUGAUAAAACAUGAAUAGUACUUUACUCGUGACGUGUGGUUUUUAAUUUUUUCAAAAUUUUUUUAAAUAAGACGGGCGAUUAAAAUUGGGCGCGAAAAACCAUGGAUACACUUAAA